AUGAACAUGUGGUGGAAAGAAUGUUUCCAUGUCCAUAUGCCUCCUUUUCUUAUUAUUCGUACUAAGGUGAGGUGCCUUAUAUCUCAUCAGUUGUCGACAUGGAGUUCCCCAUGGUGUCCUAUUUGGAGCUCUAUUUAUGAUCAUCUCAUAAUUCAGCAUCAGCCUUACAUUUAUCCUUCCAAUCUUAAAAAUCUAUGGAAACCUAACAAUAAAGCUUGGAAUGAAAAUCUUAUUUACUCUCUGUUUGAUGCUGAGGCAGCAAGCAUUAUUCUCCAAACCCCCAUAAUUCAAACGGAGGGUAAAGAUAUCAUGUGUUGGAAACACACCCCAACAGGUUUGGAAAGACAAUAG
This 351-nucleotide ribosomal RNA is filed under the name Triticum aestivum (bread wheat). RNAcentral describes it as "partial small subunit ribosomal RNA". Lineage: Eukaryota; Viridiplantae; Streptophyta; Magnoliopsida; Poales; Poaceae. The record is from RNAcentral.